UACGUAGGGGGCAAGCGUUGUCCGGAAUCAUUGGGCGUAAAGCGCGCGUAGGCGGCCCGGUAAGUCCGCUGUGAAAGUCCAGGGCUCAACCCUGGAAAGCCGGUGGAUACUGCCGGGCUAGAGUCCGGGAGAGGCGAGUGGAAUUCCUGGUGUAGCGGUGGAAUGCGCAGAUAUCAGGAGGAACACCUAAGGCGAAGGCAGCUCGCUGGAACGGUACUGACGCUGAGGCGCGAAAGCGUGGGGAGCAAACAGG
RNAcentral lists this ribosomal RNA (253 nucleotides) under uncultured bacterium. RNAcentral describes it as "partial 16S ribosomal RNA". It matches the Rfam family "Bacterial small subunit ribosomal RNA", at positions 524 to 776 of the family's 1533-position model. The record is from RNAcentral.